Molecule: long non-coding RNA, 7646 nt
Organism: Carya illinoinensis
Lineage: Eukaryota; Viridiplantae; Streptophyta; Magnoliopsida; Fagales; Juglandaceae
Exons: 5
Source: RefSeq, a predicted model, not a curated record
UAUUCCCAUUUGCUUCCUUCAGACGCCUCGAAGCCAAGAAACGUCCAGGUCUCAACCUGUGCCUCACUCUCUCUUCUGCUGAUGGGUGGUACGCGUGUAACACCUCCGCAUUCAGAAACCGUGAUGACGAAUCCAAUAUCAAACCCAUGGCUGGAAAGUUGCAAUAAAGCCUUGUUUAAGAAAGUGGUCAUGUACCAGGCAGUGAGCAAUUCCUUUCAUCUAGAUGUUGGAUGCAUCACACACACUUAUCUACAGAUGAGCUAAAGAGACAAUUUGAUCAAGAAGGAUUAGUCGCAUCUACUAAGCAUUCCUUUGCUGAAUAGUUGAUGCAUUCUCAUUUGUUAAGAAUAAAGUGACACUAUUGGCUAUGCUAAACAUGCCAAGUUCUAUCAAAAGCAAAAUAAAGAACUCGAAUUUCCUGAAGACUUCAAACGUGCCCUAAACCUGUAAGAGAUUAUCCAAAGGUUUGAUGGAGCUGCAGCAUGGCUGUUGAAAGGGGUUUUGAAAGUGGUCUUGUAACUUGCAGUAAGUGCAUUCCUUUCACCCAGUUAGAUCAAAUUGCUAUACGGUGUUUAUAUUGGCUUUUCCAGCUAUUAUAUCUACUCAUUUCUUCUCAAGUUGCAUUUUUUUUAGCUUUAUUUCAAAUGAAUACAAUCCGGUUUUGUGAGUAUUUUGCUGCUAGCUUGAGCAUUUUUUGUAUGAUUCUCAAUCUUUUGAUUGGAUUAAUAGUAUUUUUUUGGGAAAUAAACUAAAAUGUUAGUGGUUCAGGAAUUAGAGGCUAUGCUGAAUGAAUUUAAAUGAAAAGAAUAAACUUUGAAAUGAAAUUUUAGGAAUUGUGCUUUAAUUUUGAUCUUUUGUACUUAAAACAUGAGAUGCAAUCAGUGAGGGAGAGAGGGAGAAAAUAAUUGAUAUGUAUAUUUCAUCAAAUAACAUUUUAGGGCCUUAAUAAUAUGAUUGUUGUGACAUUCAAUAUUUUUUUUUUUAUCAGUGCAUGGCAUUUUUUUUUUAAUGUUGAAAAGCUUUACAGACGUUCUUAUGCGUAGAAGUUCAAAAGAGACUGUGAUCAAGAAGGUAGGGAAUUAUAAAACACAUUAUCUGCAGUUUAAAAAUGCCUGAUUGAACUCUUUAUUAGAACUAAUUUCUAUCUACAUGUUUUUGCCAUGUGAAUCAAUUAGAAAGAUCAAUACAUGUAGAAUAAUAUAUACACAAACUUAGGGAUAGCCAUAUGAAGAAAUGAGGGUAUGGACUGCAUAGUGCGCUUGCACACAUGGGAACAUGGGUAUGUUUGUUGUGCUGCGCACAACAAAUGUAUGUAUUGUUGUAACUUGCAGUUUUCUAGUAGUUCAUAAACUUCUGUUCAUCAUUGUAUACGUCCACGGGGUUUUACCAUUUUCCAAACUGGUUUAUAGGUUAGAAGAAGUUUCUAAAAGAUUUGAGGUUAUAUCAAAUUGAUCUCUCCGUCCAAAUUUCAUUAAUUCAUCCACAAAAACUUAUAAAGUUGCAUUUUUUUACCACGUUAUGAAAAAUCAUGGACAGACAUGUCACCUACGCAUGAGUCUAAAAACACAACCUAUCACAUCAACCUAAAGUAUUAAAAAACUAAAUAUACAAUGAAAUAAAGUGUACAAAAUAAAUCAAUUUAAAAUAAUCAACUUCAUUAGAAAAUGAAAACUAAAAACUACUUAAAAGCUUUCAAUAAACAAUUGAAUUUAAAUUAUAGUCAGAUAGGAAAACUUUAAAAAAUUAAAAAAUUAAAACUUAAUAUUAGAAAAAAUCAGAGUGGAGGGAUCAUUUUGAUAUAUGGAUUUUUUUUUUUUAAAUAGUUAGUAAGAAUUUUAUUACCAAGCAUAGGCAUAGCCUAAGUAUACAGGAAGUAUACAAAGGAAAUACCUACUACACACUAGAAAGCAGGAAACUACGAUAGAAACAGAUUCAGUACAUUAUCAUCAUUCCUUACAAAUAUCCUAUAGCCCACAAACUCAAAGUAGAAAAGAAAAAAUAGCGAAGAUCUUCAAAGUGGAGGGAUCAGUUUGAUAUAUGGAUGUUACUUUAAGGAUCUCCAAGAGAUGUUUUCAACUCGAGGUACCAGUUUGGAAAAAGGUCAAAAUGUUUCUAGUUGAGUCUACGUGCAUCUAGAGUGCCUCGGACAGCUUUUGUAGGUAUUUUAAGGCCUACAAUUUUCUAGUAGUUUAUAAAAGAAUCAUAUUGAAUAUUAAAAUGAAGAGGCGAUGAAUGAGAUUGGAAAAAGUUAAAGAUGUACAAAGUUAAAGAUAUUUUGUUCCGUGGAAUUAGAAGGUAAUGAGAAUUUAUUGGGUUCCCCCAAAAGUGGACAAAACCAAGAUGGAGGCUUUUGAGAGAAAUAUAAUGAUGUAAGCAUUCUCUUCCAUUUGUUCCCUAUAGGAGUGGUGUUCUUUCUCUACAUUUCAUUUCCCUUGGAUAAUUGCAUUCCCCCCCAUCCAAAAUUGGUUCAAGGAUUUUAUGACCUAAUAACAACUUAUUAGUCGGUUUACUGAAUUUUUUAGAAAUCCCUUGCGUGAAUCUUAGUGAUGUUAGAAGUUUUUGCAUGUAAUGCUAUGGUUGAAGUUUAUUGCAUUAUGUUAUAUAAGAUUAUAUUCUCUACAAAAAGUUACAUGUUUUUGUCAUAAGGAAGUAAAUAUAUAGACUAUAUUAUGUACAAACACAACAUUUGCAGAUAAGGCCAUUUGUAGAGGUAAAACUCUAGGCCACUAUUGAACAAGUAACUGCUACAGACCAUCUAGAUGGAUUGGGCACUCUUUAUUGGUACAACCUAUUUAAUCAUACUUGGUCUUUAGAUUUUUACCAAAACAGCAUUCUUUACCCCACCAUUGUUCAACAUAAGGGUAUCAACACCACUUGACUACAAACUAGCAAGAUCAAUUAUGCAAAAUAACUCAACCGAACUUACAAGUUUCCUUUGUAUAGGAAGUGCUAGACAACAGUCUCUCAAUUGGCAUGUUGUUUGCAUAGUUUUUGUAUAGGAAGCUUUUAAAGACAAUUGAGUUGAAUAUUUUGUAGGGCUAUUAAUUUUUUACACUACCCACGAACUCAAUAUGAACUCGAUGCAUAAUAAUAGGGUUAGGUUUGGGCAUAAUCAGGUUUAGAUCAUUUUGGGUCGACUUGAAUUUGACCCAGUGAGUAAUAAUUGGGAUAACCCAGGUGAUUAGCCAAACAAAAAGAAUUAUGUGGGUCUUUUGAGUUAUUGUAUUUAAAAUGCUAAAAUAUAGCACUUAUUUCAGAUCUUUUGGUAUACUUUUCUUGUAUGCCUUUGUCUAAUUAUCGAACAGUAGGAAUGAUCAAUACUUGUGAAUAUGUUUUAAUUUUUCCUUUUUUAGCUUUUAAUUUUGAAAACAAGCUGUGUCGGGUUAACCACUAAAAUUGGCAUGUUGGAUUUGGGUUGAAGCAAAACCCAUUUAAUUAUUCAAGUUGCUUUCAUGUUGACUUAGAAAUGACCCCGAAUGAUUCGAUCCCGAAACAACCAGUCCCUAUUAAGAACCCUAAAAUUAUGAUAGGUUAAAGUUUUGGACCCUUAAGUUCUGAUUCUUUUGUUGGUAUUUGCACUUUGACCCAUAAACUUUUUCUAUUUUACUUCUCCUAUAUUUUUGUUUCUAUACUUAUUAUGUUUUAAGCAUUUGAAGUCCUGUACGGCCUAACACUAAUUGCCAAAUCCAACAUUUCUAUCUUCAUUUUAGCAUGCCCCAUGCCCCAUCUUAAUAUUCAUGGGCCGAAAAUCUUAUGCAGUUUCAACCUUUAUUUUUUAACAAACCAGAUCAUGUUUCUGUACAUCUAAUGACCUUGAAUCACAGGAGAUUCUAAAGUAGGCUCGCCAUUUAAUGAAGAAGGUUCACAACCCAAAAUGCUGUAGCAUCAUACAAUCUUUGGAUAUGAUAUGCAUUUUUUAGAUUAUCAAACUCUCAUAAUGAUAUUAAUAUCCAAGAACAUUCUUAUAUUUUUAGAGAGUUUGCUGAAGGACGUGCUUCCUGGAUGGAAAUGACUACUAAUUGAGAUAUUAUCUUGUUGAUGGUAUCUAUAUCCUUCGUGGUCGACAUUUAUCAAAACAAUUUAUGCUCCACAUGGCAAUAAGAAAAGACAUUUUGUUGUAGCCCAAGAGUCGGCAUGGAUUGAUGUAGAAUAGGCAUUUGGAGUGCUUCAAGCACGAUUUGCAGUUGUAAGCAGACUUGCACAAUUUUUUAAUCGUCCAACCCUAAAAGAAAUUAUGAUGGAACGCAUAAUUUAACAUAACAUGAACGUAAAAGAUGAGCGAUAUUCAUACAAGUAGGGAUGAGUAACUUGGGAUUCUAAGUUGUCAUUCAAGGAUGCCAUGAGGUUAGUCAUGAUAGCUUUCUCCUCCCUUGAAGAUAUGAAUGUCGCUCAUAUUUUACGAUCAUGUUAUGCAAAAUUAUGCAUGCCAUUAUAAUUUAUUUUAGGGUUUGACAAUUAGAAAAUCGUGCAGGUCCGCUUACAAUUGAAGCAAUCCAAGUGCCCGUUUGAUAUCUUUCCUAGCUUAUUCUUGAGUUAUAGUAAAAUGUUUUUUCUUAUUUCUAAGUGGAACAUGAAUUGUUUUGACAAAUGUCAAUCACGAAGGAUGCAUACCAUUGGCAAGAUAAUAUCCUAUUGUGUAGUUAUUUACAUUGAUUUAGUAGUUGACUCUGGGAGCACGUCUUUUUGCAAGCUCUCUAAAAGCAGAAAAAUGUUCUAGGACAUUAAUAUCAUUAUGAGAUCCUAAUAACUCAAAAAAUGCAUGUCAUAUUCGAAGAUUGUAUGACCCUAUGACUUCCAACAUUAUCGUUGGUUCAUGAAUAUGACCACAAAACAAUAUCCAAAAUUACGAUGAAUAUGAAUUUGGGACAAUUUUUUCAUUUCCAUUACAUUCUUGAAAACCCACGAUUUUCUCCAGCUGCUAGCAUUGUCAUUUGGUAACCUUAGAUAUUGAUCGAAGAAUAUGCAAAUUUACAGCCUUAACAAACUUCUUCAAACACUCAGUUGUUGUAUUUUCUGCAAUACAUAAUUUUUUUUAAGAGUGGAAUGCCCAAGCCUUCUAACAACAUUUCUUCUUUGGAUGAAAUAUGAUUCGUACCCGUCAACUGUAGCUUGAAUACGCAAAAAAUGAGGACACUUGAAACCUCUUACAAGAUACAUUCAGGGGAUAUAAGAUAAAAAAAAGGAGAAAAAUUGUGCAAAGAAAUGGAAAUGAAAAUGUUGGUGAAACUUUAGGUCUUAUCUAUAGUUGAAGUUUUGAGUAAACCAAACUAAGGUAUAUUCUCUUAAUAUACUCAAGAAUAUGUGAGAAUAUUCUUUUACAACUAUCGAAAAUUGAUAUAUAUAAUAUUUUUUCACAAUUGUCAAAAAUGGAUAUUCUCAAAAUUUGCAAACAAUAUCUUGAGAAUAUUUUUUCACAAUUACAGAAAUGAAUAUUCUCAUAAAAUAGUUGAAAAUAUUCUCAUAAUAUAAUCUCUUUAUUUAUAUAUAUUUUGAAUCAAUUUCAAUUUUGGUUUGACUUAUAAAUUUGCAUUAGUUUGAAAUAGAACAUAAUUAUAUGACAUUGAAUGUAAGGAGAUAUUACAAAUAUCAUAAGAUAUGAUGAUGUUAUUGGUAGUUAGAGGAAAUAUUUGAACUGAAUCAAAAAAUACUUAAAAGGAUAUAAAAAAUAAUAAUAGAUAAGCUGACGAAUGGUAUAUUGUAAAAGUCAGCAUAUAAAAUAGAAAAAGUGAGUUUUGUUAAUGUGUUUUAAAUGACAGUAUAAAAAAACCAUUGUGGGUGCUCUAAUAACAUUUAUAGACAUAUAACAAUGUAUUCAGUUCGCUCUAUAAACUUUUAUUUGCUGAGAUCGUUUACUUUUACCUUUACAUAUCUCAUUAUAUAUAGAGUAAACUGAAUAUAUUUACAUACAUACAUACAUACAUAUAUAUAUAUAUAUUAUGUUUUGAAGAAUGAUGGAGCAUGUGAGGAGAGAGAGAAACAAAAAAGCCAGGUGGCCGAAAUGCUGCCAACCUAAACCUAGAGUGUCAGGACUAGGCAGUAGGCAGACAGUAGAUAAGCCCUACUUGACCGACUUUGCACUUUUUAAUUAAGCGGUAAGGCACCUGGCACUAUUAAUAGGGGGAGCAUUGGAUAACUUGUGUGUAGUGAGAAGUGAAAAGCGGGAGAGGGUAAAGAGGUGAGGUGCGAAGUGUAAAGUUGGCAAGGAAGGCAAGGAAAAGGAAAAAAAAUCGUAAGUAGAGGUUCAAUAUGCGAGGUGAGGAAGAAAAGGGUUUUAUGAUUGAUCAAUGUAAGUAGAAACUGUUCAAGUCCUAUGAACAACUUUUGGGUUAAUAUUUGUUGUUUCAUAACUGUUAUUUAGUUUAUUUCACUACUAUUGCUAAUCCAACUGUUAUUCCAUAUUUUCUGACUCAUUAUUUAUUGUUUUCCUAGAUUUGAGUCUUGACUAACCACCUAACAGUUUAUUAUAACUAUGGCUACCCCUAACAUUUUUAUAAUCUAGUUAGCUAGACCAUGAUUCUGUUGUCAUAGUUAUCAUUUUCUUUUAUUUUGGUAUGGUCUCAUGCUGGUUUAUCACGAUGGAAAUCAUAUGCUUUUAGUCAGAUAUAAUUGAAGAUAAAUGAAUUGACAACUUGUGCUAUUUUUCCUUCACUCAGCAAACAUUGCACAUGUUUGUAUAGAUGACAUUGCUUUUGAUCAUGUCAUUGAUGGUAUUAUGAACAUAGGUUCAGUCAUUUUGUAAUAAAAGACUCAACAAAGGAUGUUUCAAUCCUAAGACUAGCACUAGGCUGAUUAGAGACAAUGCAAUAUAUCCAACGGAGGAUUAGUCCUUAGGGGUAUGUAUACCCCAUGCUAGGAGAUCACUAAGGUUUGGUUUGGUAACAAAUUUUUUUUAUCUUAAAUUCAAAAUUCUCAUCUCAUCAUUACAACUUUUCCAAAUCCCUAUACAAAAUAUAAUAAAUAAUUCAACUUUUUUUUAACUUUUUUAAAUCCCAAAACAAUAAUAAUAUUAAAAUAUAAUAUUUUAAUAUUUCAUCUUAAAAUUCAAAAUUUUCAUCCCACUUACCAAACCGAACCUUAAGUCCUAUGAGAGGACAUCUGUUUGGAGGCUGAACAGUGAAUAAUGCAAGUUAAGGAGGGAAAAAAAAUUUGUUGAGAUAAUUGUUGCAAUAGUUGAUAUUAAUAAGCCUGAUGAUAACUGUUUAGGCCAUUGAUAUCUACUUCAUAUGAUAAUAAUUCAUUGUAUUUUCUACUGUUCAUUAUUACUUAUUAUUUGCUCCUUGUUAUCUGUGUAUGGAUAGUCUGCGAGUCUUCUCCUAGAGAGACAUCCAUUUAAGGAUAAUUAACGGCCAAUGGCAGGACAAAUGUCUAACCUCCCAAUAGUCGAGUUAUACUAGCCCCCGGCAGCACCCGUGAUGGUGAUCCCUUCUCCACCAGGAAACAAGGGGACUUAGAGGACUUGUUCUGUGAGGAUGGGGAUUUGAGCGGAGCUUAUCCUUAGGACAAAUAGGAAGGGUGCCACUACCAUCCAAGGGAGAGGAAACUUUAUAUAUAACCCUUUUAUGUUUUAGGACAUUUUUGUAAUCCACUUUUCUGUUAGUACAUCUCCCAUAUCCAUCUUGUUUUCUUAAUAUAACAUAGUUCUUUCA